This 377-nucleotide ribosomal RNA is filed under the name uncultured bacterium. RNAcentral describes it as "bacterial SSU rRNA". It matches the Rfam family "Bacterial small subunit ribosomal RNA", at positions 524 to 898 of the family's 1533-position model. The record is from RNAcentral.
GACGAACCGUGCGAACGUUAUUCGGAAUCACUGGGCUUAAAGCGCGUGUAGGCGGGCCGGCACGUCGGUCGCUGAAAUCCCCCGGCUCAACCGGGGAAGUGGCGCCGAUACGACCGGCCUGGAGGGGGGUAGGGGGCGCUGGAACUCACGGUGGAGCGGUGAAAUGCGUUGAGAUCGUGAGGAACGCCCGCGGCGAAAGCGAGCGCCUGGACCCUUUCUGACGCUGAGACGCGAAAGCCAGGGGAGCGAACGGGAUUAGAUACCCCGGUAGUCCUGGCCGUAAACGAUGGGCACUGGGUAGGGGGCUCGCCGAUGGGCUCCCUGCCGCAGGGAAACCGUGAAGUGCCCCGCCUGGGGAGUAUGGUCGCAAGGCUGAA